UGGGGAAUAUUGCACAAUGGGCGCAAGCCUGAUGCAGCAACGCCGCGUGAACGAUGAAGGUCUUCGGAUCGUAAAGUUCUGUUGCUGGGGAAGAUAAUGACGGUACCCUGUGAGGAAGCCCCGGCUAACUACGUGCCAGCAGCCGCGGUAAUACGUAGGGGGCUAGCGUUAUCCGGAUUUAUUGGGCGUAAAGCGAGCGCAGGCGGUUAGAAAAGUCUGAAGUGAAAGGCAGUGGCUCAACCAUUGUAGGCUUUGGAAACUGUUUAACUUGAGGGGAGAAGGGGAGAGUGGAAUUCCAUGUGUAGCGGUGAAAAGCGUAGAUAUAUGGAGGAACACCGGUGGCGAAAGCGGCUCUCUGGUCUGUAACUGACGCUGAGGCUCGAAAGCGUGGGGAGCGAACAGG
RNAcentral lists this ribosomal RNA (403 nucleotides) under Verrucomicrobiota bacterium. RNAcentral describes it as "Verrucomicrobia bacterium partial 16S ribosomal RNA". It matches the Rfam family "Bacterial small subunit ribosomal RNA", at positions 355 to 776 of the family's 1533-position model. Lineage: Bacteria; Pseudomonadati; Verrucomicrobiota. The record is from RNAcentral.